Molecule: ribosomal RNA, 499 nt
Filed under: uncultured bacterium
Lineage: Bacteria
Description: bacterial SSU rRNA
Rfam family: Bacterial small subunit ribosomal RNA
Source: RNAcentral
AAAGGAAUUGACGGGGGCCCGCACAAGCGGUGGAGCAUGUGCUUUAAUUCGAUGCAACGCGAAGAACCUUACCCAGGCUUGACAUGGGGGUGUAAGUCCUUAGAAAUAAGGAACCUUCCGCAAGGAACGCCCUACACAGGUGCUGCAUGGUUGUCGUCAGCUCGUGUCGUGAGAUGUUGGGUUAAGUCCCGCAACGAGCGCAACCCUCGCCCUUAGUUGCUAACAGGUCAAGCUGAGAACUCUAAGGGGACUGCCCAGUUUAACUGGGAGGAAGGUGGGGAUGACGUCAAAUCCUCAUGGCCCUUACGCCUGGGGCUAGACACGUGCUACAAUGGCCGGUACAACGGGCAGCAAGCUGGUGACAGCAAGCUAAUCCCUUAAAACCGUCCUCAGUUCGGAUAGGAGUCUGCAAUUCGACUCCUUGAAGCUGGAAUCGCUAGUAAUCGCGGAUCAGCAUGCCGCGGUGAAUACGUUCCCGGGCCUUGUACACACCGCCCGU